Podarcis muralis (Common wall lizard) is the source of this 74-nucleotide non-coding RNA. The record is from the annotation of a RefSeq genome assembly. NCBI's taxonomy places the organism in Eukaryota, Metazoa, Chordata, Lepidosauria, Squamata, Lacertidae.
CCCCCUGUAGUACAAUGGAUCAGUGCAUCUGGCUGUUAACCAGAAGGUUGGUGGUUCAAGCCCACCCAGGGACG